UGGCCCUACGGGGGGCAGCAGUGAGGUAUAUUGGUCAAUGGGCGGGAGCCUGAACCAGCCAAGUCGCGUGAGGGAAGACGGUCCUACGGAUUGUAAACCUCUUUUGCCGGGGAGCAACGGGGUCCUUGCGAGGGCCCGAUGAGAGUACCCGGAGAAAAAGCAUCGGCUAACUCCGUGCCAGCAGCCGCGGUAAUACGUAGGUGGCAAGCGUUGUCCGGAUUUAUUGGGCGUAAAGCGAGGGUAGGCG
Molecule: ribosomal RNA, 247 nt
Filed under: uncultured bacterium
Lineage: Bacteria
Description: partial 16S ribosomal RNA
Rfam family: Bacterial small subunit ribosomal RNA
Source: RNAcentral